Molecule: long non-coding RNA, 119 nt
Filed under: Pan troglodytes (chimpanzee)
Lineage: Eukaryota; Metazoa; Chordata; Mammalia; Primates; Hominidae
Description: lincRNA
Source: RNAcentral
GCUUCCAAGGCGAUUGAUCGGGCAGUGUCGGUCUGCAGCUGCUAAGCCAAGAAGAUCUGGGAAGGAGUCAGUCAGAGAGCCUUGGGCUGGAGUUCCAGGGGCUCUGGGAGUGGCGCCAG